GACAGAGGCCUAUUGUAACCCCGUUCUUCA
This 30-nucleotide non-coding RNA is filed under the name Mus musculus (house mouse). Lineage: Eukaryota; Metazoa; Chordata; Mammalia; Rodentia; Muridae. The record is from RNAcentral.